This 131-nucleotide microRNA precursor is filed under the name Theobroma cacao (cacao). RNAcentral's name for it is "miR162 stem-loop (tcc-MIR162)". Its record names the gene tcc-MIR162. The stretch from base 11 to 121 matches the Rfam family "MIR162_1 microRNA precursor family". The record is from miRBase by way of RNAcentral. Lineage: Eukaryota; Viridiplantae; Streptophyta; Magnoliopsida; Malvales; Malvaceae.
AGGAAAAAGGGUUAAAGACACUGGAGGCAGCGGUUCAUCGAUCUCUUCCUGGGAAUUUUGUUGUGAGAAUAACACAAAUACAUGAUUCGAUCGAUAAACCUCUGCAUCCAGAGCCUUACCUCUCUCUUUAA